GGUUUGUAGCUCAGUGGUAGAGUGCUUACCUAGCAUGUGUGAGGCACUGGAUUCAAUCCUCAGCACCA
Molecule: transfer RNA, 68 nt
Filed under: Marmota monax (woodchuck)
Lineage: Eukaryota; Metazoa; Chordata; Mammalia; Rodentia; Sciuridae
Description: tRNA.Ala
Source: RNAcentral